GAAAGAAGUUGCAGUUCAUUGCGCCAACUUGCUCACGUCAACCGGGAAGCUAUGAGUGUGGAUAUUAUACCAUGAGGCACAUGCAUAGAAUCAUAUCCGCAAACAUUGUUGACUCAUGGGAUAUGAUUUUCAAUGACACAUCUCCAAUGGAUCAAGGAGUCUUGAAGGAAGUUCGUGAGCAGUGGGCUUCGUUUCUUUUAAGUGUUUAUAUAAGAUGAUGUUAGGUGUUUUAUGACUUAUAUAGUAAUUCGUUUUGGAGUAGUAUUAUA
This is an RNA transcript of Vigna unguiculata (cowpea), 269 nucleotides long. RefSeq lists it as uncharacterized. The record is from RefSeq and is a predicted model, not a curated record. Lineage: Eukaryota; Viridiplantae; Streptophyta; Magnoliopsida; Fabales; Fabaceae.